This 441-nucleotide ribosomal RNA is filed under the name uncultured bacterium. RNAcentral's name for it is "bacterial SSU rRNA". It matches the Rfam family "Bacterial small subunit ribosomal RNA", at positions 355 to 787 of the family's 1533-position model. The record is from RNAcentral.
UAGGGAAUUUUCCGCAAUGGGCGAAAGCCUGACGGAGCAACGCCACGUGAGUGAGGACGGCCUUCGGGUUGUAAAACUCUGUUCUUGAGGAAGAAUUCCUUCCAGGCGAACAGCCUGGAAGGUUGACGGUACUCAAGGAGAAAGCCCCGGCUAACUACGUGCCAGCAGCCGCGGUAAUACGUAGGGGGCGAGCGUUAUCCGGAAUUAUUGGGCGUAAAGCGCGCGCAGGCGGCCGAUUAAGUCAGGUGUGAAAGGCUGCGGCUCAACCGCAGAGCGGCACCUGAAACUGGUCGGCUUGAGUGCAGGAGAGGGGAGCGGAAUUCCCGGUGUAGCGGUGGAAUGCGUAGAGAUCGGGAGGAACACCAGUGGCGAAGGCGGCUCUCUGGCCUGUAACUGACGCUGAGGCGCGAAAGCGUGGGGAGCAAACAGGAUUAGAUACCC